GUCUUCGGCCAUGCCACCCUGAACAAGCCUGAUCCCGUCUGAUCUCGGAAGCUAAGCAGGGUCAGGCCCGGUUAGUACUUGGAUGGGAGACCACCUAGGAAGACCAGGUGCUGUAGGCA
This 119-nucleotide ribosomal RNA is filed under the name Pteropus alecto (black flying fox). The record is from RNAcentral. Lineage: Eukaryota; Metazoa; Chordata; Mammalia; Chiroptera; Pteropodidae.